UACAGAGGUCUCGAGCGUUAGUCGGAUUCAUUGGGCUUAAAGCGUACGUAGGCGGAUAUGCAGGCGUCGUGUGAAAGCCCUCGGCUCAACCGAGGAAUUGCACGGCGAACCGCAUGUCUUGAGAUCGGUAGGGGCGGUCGGAACGAUAGGUGGAGUGGUGAAAUGCGUUGAUAUCUAUCGGAACGCCGAAGGUGAAAACAGGCCGCUGGGCCGAUUCUGACGCUGAGGUACGAAAGCGUGGGGAGCAAACAGG
This 253-nucleotide ribosomal RNA is filed under the name uncultured bacterium. Its description in RNAcentral is "partial 16S ribosomal RNA". It matches the Rfam family "Bacterial small subunit ribosomal RNA", at positions 524 to 776 of the family's 1533-position model. The record is from RNAcentral.